Molecule: long non-coding RNA, 215 nt
Filed under: Medicago truncatula (barrel medic)
Lineage: Eukaryota; Viridiplantae; Streptophyta; Magnoliopsida; Fabales; Fabaceae
Description: long non-coding RNA (MTRU_LNC003009)
Source: RNAcentral
CUCCGACGAUGAGCUCAUUGCUGAGUUAAUUUGAUUACAUAUCAGAUGACUAUGUACCAUUUGCUUACUUGAGUUCCUUUCCUUUGAUCAAAAAACAUACCGAUCCACGUUACUCGAAUACUCCCUAGCUAGACUGAGAGAUGCUACAUAAUAAUAUCCCCAAUAAACACCCCCAUCAGCAAACCAUCAGAAGUGCUACCACUCCUGAUCCGAAG